This is a long non-coding RNA of Dermacentor albipictus, 556 nucleotides long. RefSeq lists it as uncharacterized. The record is from RefSeq and is a predicted model, not a curated record. Lineage: Eukaryota; Metazoa; Arthropoda; Arachnida; Ixodida; Ixodidae.
GUGAGCCCAGCUUCGCCACUAUCAUUAGAGGAAAGUGACGACCGGUGAUGGCGCUUCUGCCGCGAUGUGACGUCUCGAAAGCCUACGCAUCGUGGGUUACCUCGCGUUGUCGCUUGCAUGUCCAGUGUAUAUAUAGAGCCAUCUCCGUUUGCAUCGUACAAAACAGCUCUUUGGCUCGUUGCACAGUGAAGCUUUACUCUUCAGGGCAGAAGCAGACGGAUAAUCAUGAAGGCUGUGCUGUGCUUGCUGGUGAUUUGCCUGAUACUGGCCACUGCUGUCGCAAUUAAGGGCUUCGGCCACAAAGGCGGCUUUGGCGGCGGAUAUGGCCACGGAGGAGGAGGAUUCGGACACGGAGGAGGAGGAUAUGGCCAUGGAGGUGGUUACGGCGGUCAUGGUGGCAAGUUUGGCAAGUUCCAUGGAUAGUCACCAACAGCUCAUCAUGCACUCAACACAAUUUCUUCCAACAUGCGGCGACCAGAGCGCCCGAACAGCCGGCAAACGAAGAAGAGUACAAAACGCGCAAUAUAUUUCGGAAUAAAAUUUCCUUGCCCUUCUC